Molecule: long non-coding RNA, 263 nt
Filed under: Elaeis guineensis (African oil palm)
Lineage: Eukaryota; Viridiplantae; Streptophyta; Magnoliopsida; Arecales; Arecaceae
Description: long non-coding RNA (EGUI_LNC042568)
Source: RNAcentral
ACUUGUGUGAGACACUAAUACAGGGAUGUAGUUGCUCAUUAAAGAAUGAGUUUACUAAAUUGAUUUGACUUGAAAAUAUCUUAUGGAAUCACUUACCCAUCAAAGAUAUUUUUUUAUAGUGGAAGUUGUGCAUAUAAUCUUUUGACCUGAGACUACCAUAGAACCUUAUAUACAUGAAUCUGUAUUUUGGUUCAUACUCAUUCAUGACUUAGCCAUGUAUGGGAUGAUCUAGAUAUGAUAGAAUAUGUAUAGAGGUUGUUAGU